RNAcentral lists this transfer RNA (72 nucleotides) under bacterium. RNAcentral describes it as "tRNA-Arg". It matches the Rfam family "tRNA". Rfam says of the family: Transfer RNA (tRNA) molecules are approximately 80 nucleotides in length. Their secondary structure includes four short double-helical elements and three loops (D, anti-codon, and T loops). Further hydrogen bonds mediate the characteristic L-shaped molecular structure. tRNAs have two regions of fundamental functional importance: the anti-codon, which is responsible for specific mRNA codon recognition, and the 3' end, to which the tRNAs corresponding amino acid is attached (by aminoacyl-tRNA synthetases). tRNAs cope with the degeneracy of the genetic code in two manners: having more than one tRNA (with a specific anti-codon) for a particular amino acid; and 'wobble' base-pairing, i.e. permitting non-standard base-pairing at the 3rd anti-codon position. The record is from RNAcentral.
GUCCCUAUAGCUCAAUGGACAGAGCUGCGCUCUUCUAAGGCGUAGAUCGAGGUUCGACUCCUCGUGGGGACA